GGUACACAAAUUGAUACACUGGUUCUUUGGAAAUUGAAGCAUGAAUAUGAAAUGAGGAGUUGAAGUUAUGAAUUUAUCUUAGUUAUAUUCUGAAUUUUAGUUAUAUGUGUACAUUAUUUAGCUUCCUUUAAUUAGAAUCAUGUAGUAGUUUGAUAUAUAAUGAAACAUCUAACAGUAGCUUAGUGGAUGAACUGUCUAU
RNAcentral lists this long non-coding RNA (199 nucleotides) under Nicotiana benthamiana. RNAcentral's name for it is "long non-coding RNA (NBEN_LNC011455)". Lineage: Eukaryota; Viridiplantae; Streptophyta; Magnoliopsida; Solanales; Solanaceae. The record is from RNAcentral.